This 470-nucleotide ribosomal RNA is filed under the name uncultured organism. RNAcentral's name for it is "bacterial SSU rRNA". It matches the Rfam family "Bacterial small subunit ribosomal RNA", at positions 28 to 507 of the family's 1533-position model. The record is from RNAcentral.
GAUGAACGCUGGCGGCGUGCUUAACACAUGCAAGUCGAACGAUGAAAGCGGGAGCUUGCUCCUGCUGGAUUAGUGGCGAACGGGUGAGUAACACGUGAGUAACCUGCCCUUGACUCUGGGAUAAGCGUUGGAAACGACGUCUAAUACCGGAUACGACCUUCGGAGGCAUCUCCUGGGGGUGGAAAGAAUUUCGGUCAAGGAUGGACUCGCGGCCUAUCAGCUAGUUGGUGAGGUAAUGGCUCACCAAGGCGACGACGGGUAGCCGGCCUGAGAGGGUGACCGGCCACACUGGGACUGAGACACGGCCCAGACUCCUACGGGAGGCAGCAGUGGGGAAUAUUGCACAAUGGGCGCAAGCCUGAUGCAGCAACGCCGCGUGAGGGACGACGGCCUUCGGGUUGUAAACCUCUUUUAGUAGGGAAGAAGCGAAAGUGACGGUACCUGCAGAAAAAGCACCGGCUAACUACGUG